RNAcentral lists this ribosomal RNA (253 nucleotides) under uncultured bacterium. RNAcentral describes it as "partial 16S ribosomal RNA". It matches the Rfam family "Bacterial small subunit ribosomal RNA", at positions 524 to 776 of the family's 1533-position model. The record is from RNAcentral.
UACAGAGGGGGCAAGCGUUAUUCGGAAUUAUUGGGCGUAAAGGGCGCGUAGGCGGCUUGGCAAGUGGAUGGUGAAAUCCCUCGGCUUAACCGAGGAACUGCCAUCCAGACUGCUUUGCUUGAGGCCGGGAGAGGUGAGUGGAAUUCCCAGUGUAGCGGUGAAAUGCGUAGAUAUUGGGAGGAACACCAGUGGCGAAGGCGGCUCACUGGACCGGUAUUGACGCUGAGGUGCGAAAGCGUGGGGAGCAAACAGG